CCUACGGGAGGCAGCAGUGGGGAAUAUUGCACAAUGGGGGAAACCCUGAUGCAGCGACGCCGCGUGAGUGAAGAAGUAAUUCGUUAUGUAAAGCUCUAUCAGCAGGGAAGAAAAUGACGGUACCUGAGUAAGAAGCCCCGGCUAACGACGUGCCAGCAGCCGCGGUAAUACGUAGGGGGCAAGCGUUAUCCGGAUUUACUGGGUGGAAAGGGAGCGUAGCCGGCAGUGCAAGUCUGGAGUGAAAGGCGGGGGCUCAACCCCCGGACUGCUCUUGAAACUGUACGGCUGGAGGGCAGGAGAGGUAAGUGGCAUUCCUCGUGUAGCGGUGCAAUGCGUCGAUAUUAGGAGGACCACCAGUGGCGAAUGCGGCUUACUGGACUGUACCUGACGUUGAGGCUCGACAGCGUGGGGAGCACACAGGAUUAGCUACCCGGGUAGUC
RNAcentral lists this ribosomal RNA (440 nucleotides) under uncultured bacterium. RNAcentral describes it as "partial 16S ribosomal RNA". It matches the Rfam family "Bacterial small subunit ribosomal RNA", at positions 338 to 795 of the family's 1533-position model. The record is from RNAcentral.